ACUCGCCUGCAUGAAGUUGGAAUUGCUAGUAAUCGCGAAUCAGAAUGUCGCGGUGAAUACGUUCCCGGGCCUUGUACACACCGCCCGUCACACCAUGAGAGUCGAUAACACCCGAAGCCUGUGAGCUAACCGUAAGGAGGCAGCAGUCGAAGGUGGGGUUGAUGAUUGGGGUGAAGUCGUAACAAGGUAAC
This 191-nucleotide ribosomal RNA is filed under the name uncultured bacterium. RNAcentral's name for it is "partial 16S ribosomal RNA". It matches the Rfam family "Bacterial small subunit ribosomal RNA", at positions 1310 to 1500 of the family's 1533-position model. The record is from RNAcentral.